GGAUGCGGUCAUACCAGCACUAAAGCACCGGAUCCCAUCAGAACUCCGAAGUUAAGCGUGCUUGGGCGAGAGUAGUACUAGGAUGGGUGACCUCCUAGGAAGUCCUCGUGUUGCAUUCC
Triticum aestivum (bread wheat) is the source of this 119-nucleotide non-coding RNA. The record is from Rfam. NCBI's taxonomy places the organism in Eukaryota, Viridiplantae, Streptophyta, Magnoliopsida, Poales, Poaceae.